CUUAAAAUGUUUAAUUUAAUCUUUUUCAUAUAUUACAAAAUUUAUUUUUGGCGAUUUAGUCUAAUUCCGCCACAUACAUAUCAUAUUUAUCAAUAUCUUAAUAUUUUUCAAGUUAUAUAUAUAUAUAUAUCCUUUAAUUUGAGCAUGUCCAAGCACCAAUAUUGGCAAAAACAAGUGUGAGAUGCCGGGCACUCAGACGAUACAGCUACUGCUGCAGGUUCAGAAAACCUUAGACAAAGCUGCUGGCAAUCUUCACGUACGCAGUUAUCCCUGUACCAAAACUGACGCCGACAUUCAAUAGCAAGUCUUUGACCCACACCCACUUCACUUCUCAUCACUGACACAUACAACACCGCAAACACACUACGAUUCAUCAAUUACUCUUAUAAAUAACACAUUUCAUGUAAAUGUUACCAUUUUUUCUUUAAUAAAACUAGGACAAGAACAUAUUAACAUGCAUGAUAUAUGAAUCAAGAUAUUAGAUAUGUAUGUGAACAAACCUGAAACCAAAAGAAAAAGUGAAAAAAACUUUGCCAUGCUUAAUUUUGCCAUUAUUUAUCAAACCAUUGGCGGC
This 574-nucleotide long non-coding RNA is filed under the name Arachis ipaensis. RNAcentral describes it as "long non-coding RNA (AIPA_LNC002102)". The record is from RNAcentral. Lineage: Eukaryota; Viridiplantae; Streptophyta; Magnoliopsida; Fabales; Fabaceae.